Molecule: transfer RNA, 66 nt
Filed under: Eupeodes corollae
Lineage: Eukaryota; Metazoa; Arthropoda; Insecta; Diptera; Syrphidae
Also listed under: 3 other names
Description: tRNA-Pro
Source: RNAcentral
CAAGAAAUAGUUUAAAUAAAAUAUUAAUUUUGGAGAUUAAUGAUGAAGAUAUUACUUCUUUCUUGA